UGGAGAGUGACCGCGGCUGCUCCACUGCUGAGGCCGCGCCAUGGCAGACGAGGAGCUUGAGGCGCUGAGGAGACAGAGGCUAGCCGAGUUGCAGGCCAAACAUGGGGAUCCUGGCGAUGCAGCCCAACAGGAAGCAAAGCACAGGGAAGCAGAAAUGAGAAACAGUAUCUUAGCCCAAGUUCUGGAUCAGUCGGCCUGGGCCAGGUUAAGUAAUUUAGCACUUGUAAAGCCUGAAAAAACUAAAGCAGUAGAGAAUUACCUUAUACAGAUGGCAAGAUAUGGACAACUAAGUGAGAAGGUAUCAGAACAAGGUUUAAUAGAAAUCCUUAAAAAAGUAAGCCAACAAACAGAAAAGACAACAGUGAAAUUCAACAGAAGAAAAGUAAUGGACUCUGAUGAAGAUGACGAUUAUUGAGCUGCAAGUGCUCACAGACUAGAACUUAAAGGAAAAAUUCUAGGACAGAAGUUAAGAUCUGACUAUUUACUUUGUUUAUUGUCUAUAUGCCUUUUAAAAAAAUAAACUUGUUAUGCAAAA
Molecule: RNA transcript, 535 nt
Organism: Nomascus leucogenys (northern white-cheeked gibbon)
Lineage: Eukaryota; Metazoa; Chordata; Mammalia; Primates; Hylobatidae
Gene name: programmed cell death protein 5 pseudogene
Exons: 1
Source: RefSeq, a predicted model, not a curated record